Lepisosteus oculatus (spotted gar) is the source of this 120-nucleotide ribosomal RNA. The record is from Rfam. Lineage: Eukaryota; Metazoa; Chordata; Actinopteri; Semionotiformes; Lepisosteidae.
GCUAGCAGCCGUAUCGCCCUGUAACUCGCAACUGGCAGCCCCACUGAAGCUCAGCAGGGGUGAGCCUGGUCAGUACCUGGAUGGGAGACCUCCUGGGAAAAACUAAGGCUGCUGCUGGAA